CCGGGGAGGCCUCAGUGUCUCCUCUCCUUCGGGAGAACGGAAGGACGCCUGCGGCCUACGUGCAAAAUUCUGAUGCUGGUUUACGUAGAUACUCCACUCUCAUGGAGGUGGAGCAUAAUUGCCUACUCUUAAAUGCAGGCUGUCCAUCGAGACUGACUUCCAAAGACUAUAGCAAGGAAAGGACGAAAAAUGAAUAUCUUUAUGCUGGAGAAACCUGAGCAAUGCUAUCUCAGCCAGGAUAUUCUUAAGCAGAAUGGCACCAGCACCCGAGAAGGACCACCUCCUCCAGUGACCUUCCCACCAAAGGAAAAGCAUAGCUUCUUCAGGACCACAAGCAAAAAAAGAUUAAGAAUAUAGAAAUUUCAGAUGUUCUUAGGUAAACAAUAUGUUAAAUGAGAUUUGGAGGGUAAAAGGUGAUCCUGGAAAAAUGUGAAGAGAACCAAUGUAUCUACCUUCAGCUCAAAUCAAAGUCUCUGAGGACAUUGGGAUUAGAGCUUGCUUGGAAAGCUUUACAUGUGGAAGUCAGCUUUGAAUUGUCCUGUAAGGCAUCACUGAUGGGUAUCAGUUAGCUGAAUUCAUGCUCCCCUACAUGAGCACCACCCCUAAAUUCUUUCUUCCACUUUCCUUCCCAAGUGGUCCUCUGACCUUGCUGUCUUAAGCCCUUCAUGGACAAUUUUGGUCCAUCUGUUUUUAUGUGAAGGAGUCUACAUUCCUCUUGGAAGAGACCAUUCAUUGUCUUCCUACUAUAGGGAAGUAUUAAACGAGAGAGAGAGAUGAAAAGAACGUUUGUGAAAUAAAACAUCACAAAGGUAAUGAUACUGUGUUUGAGCUGAAUUUUAUCAUGUGAUGAACUAAAAAUGGCUUUUGAACAAAAAGGCAGGAUAGCAGGGGCUUCUGCUCUGCUCUAACCAGCAAGUAUAGAGUUGGCUCUAAAUAAUGUGUAUUUAUUAUGUGGUUUAAAAGGCAGUUAAAUUCCUGGACAUCUGUAAUAUUCAGAUAGAGUCAAGGUCUAAAGCAGAGUACAAAAUGACUAACUUUGGACUGAGUCUAAUCCACAGACUUGAGAAGGGGGAUGAAGAAGCAUGUGUUCAUAUUUAAUAUAAUAUUUAGAAACUACACAUUAGCACUGAUAGAGUAAUGAGCAAUGGGAGCUGGGGGCGCUCCGAUGUGCCAGAAUCUUCUCCCAUAGAGCUAUAUUUCUUAUUAUAUUAUGUGGGAUUUAAACACUUGGGACCAAUUAAGACUUUGUGUGCUAAACUUAGAUUUGGUUCUGGGGGCAGGGGAAAGUUAUGAAAGAAUUUUAAUUGGGGAAAGUGGAAUGAUCCAAUAUACGGAGCAUGGACUAGAGGGAAAUAAAACAGGAUUCAGGAAAACCAAAUCAGGAGACUGCUAUAGGAACACAGACAGGAAGUCAGGAGAACCUGAACUAAGGCAACUCUUGGGACAAAAGAGGAGAGAUAAUCGAGAGCCUUUUGAGAGGUAGAAGCAGUAGGGCCAAGGGACUAAAUAGAGGAUUCAGAGUAGAGUCCAAGAAGAUUUGAGUGACAAUGGGUAAGGUAGGGUCAUUCAUAUUCUGGAUGAUAUAAAGGAAAAGCAUUUGGAGACAAUAAGCCAUUCUACCUUUUGAAACACUUCAAAACCUAGCCAGUAUGUGCUACAAAGCUGAGGAAAAAGCCUGUUUAAUGACUUGAUAUACUUUCAAAGUCAGUCCAGGUUCUAACAGCCGGCUCUAGUCUGAGGGAUACUUCUUGGAUGGUAUAAGAGGCUAAACUAGUGGUUAUCACUGAUUCCCAUCAAACUAAGCAUCAUACUUGGGAAACUUAGAGCACUGGUUGUCCAAUAGAAGAGUAAAGCAAGCUCCUUGCAAAUUUUUUAAUAUCAGGUGCCUGGACCCUUAGAUUAGGCAUCUCCAGGAAGGGCCUAGACUCUUAAAUCAUGCAAGAGCAUCCAGUUCAGUUCAGUCCAUUCAGUCGCUGAGUCGUGUCCGACUCUUUGC
Molecule: long non-coding RNA, 1996 nt
Organism: Bubalus bubalis (water buffalo)
Lineage: Eukaryota; Metazoa; Chordata; Mammalia; Artiodactyla; Bovidae
Exons: 4
Source: RefSeq, a predicted model, not a curated record